Populus euphratica (Euphrates poplar) is the source of this 687-nucleotide long non-coding RNA. RefSeq lists it as uncharacterized. The transcript has 2 exons. The record is from RefSeq and is a predicted model, not a curated record. Lineage: Eukaryota; Viridiplantae; Streptophyta; Magnoliopsida; Malpighiales; Salicaceae.
AUUCAUGAAAAGGAACAAUUUAAGUGAGCCCAAUUUUAACUACAACGCAUUCUCUCGACCAAUUUGCAUGCAUAAAAAGCAGAAUGUAGCUCUGGAAUCCUCUUCAUAAAUCAUGGUCUUGUGAGGAUGGAUAAGCUUCUUUUUAUCCUUUUUAUUAUUAUUGCACCUCUCAGGCAAAGAUUUGAAUGUGUCCUCCCAACCAACGCAAUCCAAUAUUAAAGGACACAAGAUAGUUUAAGAUUAUAAACAUUGAGUAAUGCAAGGGAUACCAGCACCCUUCUACUAACUCAUCGCAUCCAUGAUACAAUAAAGAUAAAGGUUUUAAAUAAUAGUGAUUUGACUUUCAAGUAUUUAACCAGAUACUUAUCACUACAAAAUUAGAAAAAAUAAUAUAGUACCUAUCAUCAACCACCACAUCAGUUCAUAAAAAAAAAUGCUUGCAGAUGUUUUAGUGUCUCUAGUAUUAUUCAUCACCCUAAGAAAUCCCUAUGAGAUCAAAGAAACCUGACUGUAUGUGUUGACUACAAGCGAUGGCAUAAAACUAUGCUGAAGUUUACAGCCAGUUGAUCAGAAUGUGUCUUUCUUGGCUAACACAUGAAAUGAGAAAAAGAUAAAAACCAUUAAAUCCUUAUAUCAAAGAGCUACUAUACAAAAAGAGAGAGAGAGAGACGGACAGACAGAAAGAAA